GUAAAGGUUUCGACAGGGGUCAUGCAGGUGGAGAAGCUAUCCGACGCCGAUCGUCAAACGGCAAAAUUAAAAAUAAACGCUAACAACAAUAGAGUAGCACUGGCAGCAUAAUUGCCGCCCGUCGUCUGGAGGACACCCGCAUCCUGCAGCUCCGGCGUUAUGAAAGCGGGAAACGACACGGGGUAAGCUUUGCCCCCGCGGGCGUAUCAUGAAGCUACUAAAGCAGGUGGAUUGACUGUUUUCCGCCUGUGGAGGGAACGGGAGUGAUCCGAAAAAACCGUCUAUGAUAGUAGAAGGACAUUGAAUUGGCUUUUGGACAGGGGUUCGAUUCCCCUCUGAUCCACCA
RNAcentral lists this transfer-messenger RNA (346 nucleotides) under bovine gut metagenome. It matches the Rfam family "transfer-messenger RNA". From Rfam's summary of the family: Bacterial tmRNA, also known as 10Sa RNA or SsrA, is named for its dual tRNA and mRNA-like properties. Its role is to liberate the mRNA from a stalled ribosome. The record is from RNAcentral.